This 426-nucleotide ribosomal RNA is filed under the name uncultured bacterium. RNAcentral's name for it is "bacterial SSU rRNA". It matches the Rfam family "Bacterial small subunit ribosomal RNA", at positions 355 to 772 of the family's 1533-position model. The record is from RNAcentral.
UGGGGAAUAUUGGACAAUGGGCGAAAGCCUGAUCCAGCAACGCCGCGUGGAGGAUGAAGAAUUUCGGUUCGUAAACUCCUUUCGACCGAGAUGAAUACCCCGAGAUUUAAUACGUUUCGGGACUGACAGUAUCGAGCGAAGAAGCCCCGGCUAUCUCUGUGCCAGCAGCCGCGGUAAUACAGGGGGGGCAAGCGUUGUUCGGAAUUACUGGGCGUAAAGGGUUCGUAGGCGGCGAUUUAAGUCAGAGGUGAAAGCCCGGGGCUCAACCCCGGAAUAGCCUUUGAGACUGGAUUGCUUGAAUCUUGGAGAGGCGGGUGGAAUUCCGAGUGUAGAGGUGAAAUUCGUAGAUAUUCGGAAGAACACCAGUGGCGAAGGCGGCCCGCUGGACAAGUAUUGACGCUGAGGUGCGAAAGCGUGGGGAGCAAA